Molecule: ribosomal RNA, 253 nt
Filed under: uncultured bacterium
Lineage: Bacteria
Description: partial 16S ribosomal RNA
Rfam family: Bacterial small subunit ribosomal RNA
Source: RNAcentral
UACGUAGGUGGCAAGCAUUAUCCGGAAUUAUUGGGCGUAAAGCGCGCGCAGGUGGUUUCUUAAGUCUGAUGUGAAAGCCCACGGCUCAACCGUGGAGGGUCAUUGGAAACUGGGAGACUUGAGUGCAGAAGAGGAAAGUGGAAUUCCAUGUGUAGCGGUGAAAUGCGUAGAGAUAUGGAGGAACACCAGUGGCGAAGGCGACUUUCUGGUCUGUAACUGACACUGAGGCGCGAAAGCGUGGGGAGCAAACAGG